GUGUGUGUGUGUGUGUGUGUGUGUGUGGUCACUGUAGUGUAACAGAGGUUUUUGUACGAUGGCUUCAUUAUAAUGUAUGACUGUGGUUCACUUUCGAUGGAGGAACCAAACUGAUCAUCAAAACCGGUCCCGCGGUGAAGCCCUCCGUGUCUCUGCUCCCUCCCUCCUCUCUGCAGCUGUCUGAGGGAUCGGCCUCGCUGCUCUGCCUGCUGUCUGCCUACUCUCCACAGGGGGCGCUGGUGAGCUGGACAGUGGACGGCUCCCAGGUGAAGGACGGGGUUCUGACCAGCGCAGAAGAACAGAAGAAGGACGGUUACACACGCAGCAGCACCCUGACCCUCAGCAAAGCACUCUGGGAAAAGGGGGAGGAGUUUGUCUGUACGGUCUCCCAUGCCGGCGUCAAUCAUCCGGUCACGUUCAGAAAGAGCCAGUGUGAAGCCUAACAGCUCCAAGAUACAAUUUAACACUGAGCUGCUUACACAUCCAUCUACAAUAGAGUUUCAGUUCUACACAAUGCUGACAUUUCUGUCUUUACUCUCUUCACUGUCCUGUUGCUCUUCCUGUAGUUUUGCUCUGCUGAAAUAAAGCUUCCUUUUGGA
Pangasianodon hypophthalmus (striped catfish) is the source of this 599-nucleotide long non-coding RNA. RefSeq lists it as uncharacterized. The record is from RefSeq and is a predicted model, not a curated record. NCBI's taxonomy places the organism in Eukaryota, Metazoa, Chordata, Actinopteri, Siluriformes, Pangasiidae. The transcript has 2 exons.